GUGGUGUGUUGACGUCUCCUAAAAUGAAUGCAUUGCAUUCUAUUUCCCCCUUUAAUUCUGUUAGUGUUUGUUUCACAUAUGUAGGUGCUCCUGUGUUGGGUGCAUAGAUAUUUUAAAUGGUUGUAUCCUCUUGUUGGACUGACCCCUUUAUCAUUAUGGAAUGUCCUUCUUUCUCUCUUGUUGCUUUCUUUGUUUUGAAGUCUAUUUUGUGUGAUACAGGUACUGCAUCUCCUGAUUUUUUUCUCCCUAUUGUUUGCAUGAAACAUGUUUUUCCAUCCCUUCACUUUUGGUCUUUGUAUGUCUUUGGGUUUGAAGUAGUCUCUUGUAGGCAGCAUAUAGAUGGGUAUUGCUUUUUUAUCCACUGUGUAACUCUGUGUCUUUUGGUUGGUGCAUUCAGUCCGUUUACAUUUAGGGUGAUUAUUGAUAUGUGCCUACUACCAUUACAGGCUUUGGAUUUGUGGUCACCAAAGGGUCAAGGGCAGCAGUACCUGCAGGGCCUGCUGCACGUCCCUAGGGGGCGAGGCGGUGCAGGAAGCCGCCCUGGCCGGCUGGUCCGUCCGAAAUUCCUAGUGGGCGGGUCAGCGAGUUAGGAAACAGGCGAGGGGGUGGGGGCGGGGCGCGGGGCCGCGAGCCUCCUCCCCUCGGCCAAUCAGCAGCUUCAGCAGCCCCUGGGAGGGCGCACUUUCUUCUCUGCACCCGGCGAGGAGGAGGACGGCAGCGGCGUCUCCUCAACUGCAGGCGGACUCCUCAGGAGCCGCGGCGCGGCCCUGGCGCUGGCUGCGGGGCCGCCGAAGGCGUUCUGACGGAAAUUUCCCUGCUUACAACUUCGCCGCCGCCGCCGCGCUCCUGGAGGCCCGCCGCUGCCUGAUAACGGCCGCUCUGCUGCACCGUGGCGCCCGAGAGCCCGGCCAAAGUUGAGCGCAGGCCGGCGGCGCGGGUGGUGGCCGCUCCGGACGCUCCAGCUGCACUUGCUCCAGGCGCUGGUUCAAGGUCGUCGAACCCCGUUGACUGUCCUGCGGGUCGGGACAACUGGCUCCCAACGUGGGGCCCGACAGACCAGAGAGGCGAGAACGUCGCCCCCAAGAGGGUGGGCCCACCCAUGAAAGGAGGUGUCUGCAACGAGACCCUCGCCAGAGUCGCCACGUUCUGAACCCAGCGUGAGACAGACUCGUGUGUACUCAAUCGGCGACGCAUUUGAGAAGAUGCAGUUGCCAAAAAUCCUAAUCCUCCUGAUCAUGACCACAGCUCUGAGCCAUCCGCCGGUGCUGCAACCCAUGAGAUCCUGACACUUUCCUGGAACUACACCUGGAUAGUGCUUUCUGAAAGAGGAGAUGUUGUUUGGUCUCGUUCUCAAACCUCACCAGACGUCUGGUGGCCAAGCGUUUUACAACCUGACCUUUCGAAAGUAAGCACCAGUGCGACCCUCCCAGGAGUCUGAGUGCCGGUUGAGUACUAAGGUGGAUGCGAGGCAAAGCACUGCAAAGGAAAGGCUAACGCCUGCCCUGGGUUCCUUGAGGGACAUACCUGAUUGCAUAGAGGUUUGUGUCCUGCAUCCUUCUCUCCUCAGGAAAAAGACUCCUUGUGCCUAAUAGAGAAACUCUUUCUCUUCAGCAGAGCCUGUAAGACUUAGAGUUCUCUUCAUGCACCAGAUAUCCACUGAGGAUUAGGCCCCUGUCCCCGCCCCUUAGCCUGCUCAACCAAAAUCGUCCUAAUUUUUAAUAAAGAAAGGGAGAGAUGUUGGGAGCAAGCCUAUGGACUUUAAGCAAUACUAGUUAUGUAAGUCUUAAGACAACAGCAAUCAUUUCUGCAGUAAAGCAAAGCUGCUCUCCUAGCCAAAUCAAUAUAGAUUUUGUGGUCAGAUUGCUAAGCAACAUUUCCUCCUCUAUUCUUUCCACUGGCCGCCUAACCCUGCCAACAUCCUGCUUCGCAAGAACACCCGCUGCCCCAAGGGAAAACCCACCCUUAAACCUCCUCCCCAAGGGCCCCCACCCACAAGAUUGCGAACUUCCUGCUUCUCUUCUGGGUCCUUGGUUCCCGCCGGCGCCACCUGAAGCCCAAUCACCUCUUUACAUAUGUUUUCGUCACAACCUAUAUAAAUUGAGCCUGAGAAAAAUAAAAUUUGUCAGCUUGAUCGGA
Long non-coding RNA from Manis pentadactyla (Chinese pangolin), 2136 nucleotides. RefSeq lists it as uncharacterized. The transcript is spliced from 4 exons. The record is from RefSeq and is a predicted model, not a curated record. Lineage: Eukaryota; Metazoa; Chordata; Mammalia; Pholidota; Manidae.